UUGUUGCAGUUAAAAAGCUCGUAGUCGAAUUUUUAAGGGAAUCAAUUUUAUGUGGUCUUAAUGAACUGCAAAGGAAGAUGAUUUAUCUUAUUUUAUGCUUUUGCACCAUUGGAAUUCGUUUUCUGAUAGUGGAGUAAGUUUGUGUUUACUUUGAGAAAAUUAGAGUGUUCAAAGCAGUCUUACGGCUUUAUAUUAAAGCAUGGAAUGAUAAAUAAUGACAUCGGUAAAUUUUUGUUGGUUUGAGAGACUGAUGUAAUGAUUUAUAGAGUUAGUCGGAGGUAUUAGUAUUUUAUCGUUAGAAGUGAAAUUCUGGGAUCGACAAAAGACUAACAACUGCAAAAGCAUUUACCUAGAAUUUGCUCCUUGAUCAAGAACGUAAGUUGGGGGAUCGAAGACGAUCAGAUACCGUCGUAGUCUCAACUUUAAACUAUAUCAGCUAGGGGUUGGCAAAUGUUUAUAUGACUUUGUUAGAACCUUAAGAGAAAUCAAAGCGUUUGGGUUCCGGGGGGAGUAUGGGUCCAAGGCUG
This 527-nucleotide ribosomal RNA is filed under the name uncultured marine eukaryote. RNAcentral describes it as "SSU rRNA". It matches the Rfam family "Eukaryotic small subunit ribosomal RNA", at positions 610 to 1139 of the family's 1831-position model. The record is from RNAcentral.